ACGAACGCUGGCGGCGUGCUUAACACAUGCCAGUCGAACGGAAAGGCCCUGCUUUUGUGGGGUGCUCGAGUGGCGAACGGGUGAGUAACACGUGAGUAACCUGCCCUUGACUUUGGGAUAACCUCAGGAAACUGGGGCUAAUACCGGAUAGGAGCUCCUGCUGCGUGGUGGGGGUUGGAAAGUUUCGGCGGUUGGGGAUGGACUCGCGGCUUAUCAGCUUGUUGGUGGGGGAGUGGCUUACCAAGGCUUUGACGGGUAGCCGGCCUGAGAGGGUGACCGGCCACAUUGGGACUGAGAUACGGCCCAGACUCCUACGGGAGGCAGCAGUGGGGAAUAUUGCACAAUGGGCGGAAGCCUGAUGCAGCAACGCCGCGUGCGGGAUGACGGCCUUCGGGUUGUAAACCGCUUUCGCCUGUGACGAAGCGUGAGUGACGGUAAUGGGUAAAGAAGCACCGGCUAACUACGUG
This 467-nucleotide ribosomal RNA is filed under the name uncultured bacterium. RNAcentral describes it as "partial 16S ribosomal RNA". It matches the Rfam family "Bacterial small subunit ribosomal RNA", at positions 29 to 507 of the family's 1533-position model. The record is from RNAcentral.